RNAcentral lists this ribosomal RNA (484 nucleotides) under uncultured bacterium. Its description in RNAcentral is "bacterial SSU rRNA". It matches the Rfam family "Bacterial small subunit ribosomal RNA", at positions 30 to 507 of the family's 1533-position model. The record is from RNAcentral.
AUUGAACGCUGGCGGCAUGCUUUACACAUGCAAGUCGAACGGUAACAGGGAGCUUGCUCCGCUGACGAGUGGCGAACGGGUGAGUAAUGCAUCGGAACGUACCCAGUCGUGGGGGAUAACGUAGCGAAAGUUACGCUAAUACCGCAUACGUCCUGAGGGAGAAAGCGGGGGACCGAAAGGCCUCGCGCGAUUGGAGCGGCCGAUGUCGGAUUAGCUAGUUGGUAGGGUAAAGGCCUACCAAGGCGACGAUCCGUAGCGGGUCUGAGAGGAUGAUCCGCCACACUGGGACUGAGACACGGCCCAGACUCCUACGGGAGGCAGCAGUGGGGAAUAUUGGACAAUGGGCGCAAGCCUGAUCCAGCCAUGCCGCGUGGGUGAAGAAGGCCUUCGGGUUGUAAAGCCCUUUUGUCCGGAAAGAAAAGCACUGGAUUAAUACUUCGGUGUUCUGACGGUACCGGAAGAAUAAGCACCGGCUAACUUCGUG